Molecule: long non-coding RNA, 308 nt
Filed under: Salmo salar (Atlantic salmon)
Lineage: Eukaryota; Metazoa; Chordata; Actinopteri; Salmoniformes; Salmonidae
Description: lncRNA (ENSSSAG00000081893.1)
Source: RNAcentral
ACUAUAUACAGGGGGUACCGGUACAGAGUCAAUGUGGAGACUAUAUACAGGGGGUACCGGUACAGAGUCAAUGUGGAGACUAUAUACAGGGUGUUACAGUACAGAGUCAAUGUGGAGGCUAUAUACAGGGGGUACCGGUACAGAGUCAAUGUGGAGGCUAUAUACAGGGGGUAAUGGUACAGAGUCAAUGUGGAGGCUAUAUACAGGGGGUACCGGUACAGAGUCAAUGUGGAGGCUAUAUACAGGGUACCGGUACAGAGUCAAUGUGGAGGCUAUAUACAGGGGGUACCGGUACAGAGUCAAUGUGG